AUUGUUUUUAUUAAUUUAUUUAUAUAAGAGCUAAUUACAGCAUGUAAGGUUCGCCUGUAGAGAUUUUAAAUUAUUUUAUAUUUUUAUUUAUUUAAAUUAUUUUAUUGAGAUAUCAAACGACGUUAAAUAAUGUCUAUGAUUCAUGCGCCAGACGUUUAUAUACUUUGUGUUUAUCUCCUUUAAAACGACAAUUGCCGCAUAGGAAAAUAUGCGUUUUUGGAACUUUUGAACUUAAAAAAAAAAAUGAUUAUAAGGCAUGUGAAUUUCCUGAAUUUUUUGGUGUCUUUUAUUAACAUUGAAAGACCUUUCAAUAGUUUCUCUUUACCUUAUCUGGUUUUCGUAAUACCGAUCAUUUUGAAUGAAAUCGUCGAAAAAUGAAGAUAAGGAGCUGAAAGUUGCCACAAAAAUUCGUUGAUUAAUUAAGAAUAUGAUGUUAGAGGAUAGGCGUGAUAGGCACAUAUGCCCGGGCAUGUUAUGGAUAAAACUGACACAACCGCGAUUUCGUGUAUAGAUUUCGGUCCCAUGAAAAUAUUUCCAAAACGGUCUUAUUCAAAUGGUCGCCAGAGCCACCUUUAUGCAUGGUCCAAAAAUGUCUUAUCGAAAUUGUUACGAAUUUUUUUUUCGCAAUGGUUGCGCAAUCUGCCUGCCUUCUUGUUUAUAGUUUGCAGUUUUUUUUUUUAGAGGUUAGAUCUUUGUAAUCUGAAUCGUUGAUAAGCGUACACCGCAAGUUUAUUCCUCCGUUCUCGGUUUGUUCCUUCUUUCUUCGUGCAAUUUAUCGCUUUUUAUACGGCUCUAACAUUUCCAAUUUGAUGAUUAUGAAGCGAUUUAACAAGCAAGAAUGUUAUAUUCAGCGUGGGCCGAAUUUUAUGUAUUCACACCUUCCCUUAUAUCUCUUUUUUUUAGCAUUCGUUUUUGUUUACGUAACGAGUAAUAUACGAAAACAUUCAAAAAUUGAACAAAUGAAUACUUGAUCACUCAUAACUUUGUAUGGGCGUAGACUAUUUUCUCCGUUUUUGAUAAAGCAUAACAGAGUCCUUCAUAACAACUUCAGUGUUCAACCUCUUAUAAUUUGUGAGCAAUGAGCCAAAGAAGUUUGCUUUCAGUUUUUUCCUUCCUGAGGGUGUGUUCGUUGGCUCAUUUUAAAUAUCUACCUGCCUGCAAGAGCUUCCAAUGCUCCCGAUCCUGCACAAUCCGGGCAGUGCCAUCCGCAUAACCUAUCAAUUUUUCUUUUUGACUUCUUAUAUCGUCGUUUGCGUAGCUGCCUAUCGUUUUAACCACGUGCAACGUGAUGAUAGCGCAGGAUUCUUUGCGUCCUUGCUUUUUUGUGCUGUGGAAGUCACUUACAAUUCUUUCCAAUAGCCCAGUUUACCGGUUUUUAUUACUAUUCUAGAGAACUUUCUCGCGCUUUUGUAAGGCUCAAUUUGUUUACCAGUCUUUUGAUGUUUCAGCCUCACAUACAUGUGUUAAGGUAUUUCGGAAGUAAACCACGACAGCAUUUGGAUCUUCUUUCUAGCGCAGAGUAGUGUGCAGUUGUUCGUUUUCUUUUUUGGCCAACAGAACUGCUGCGCCUUGUGGCGCUACCUCAUUAUCUAUAUAGAAGUAGAUAAUGGUGGUGGCUUAAGGUUUCGCUUUGUGACAUUAUUCAACGCAUGCAUCCAUCUGCCAACAAUAACGAGCGAAGCACAUGAGCAUUUUGUAGACUAUCUAUACUAUGCAUGGGUAGUUUCACUGCGGCGAGCGAGUUAUAUCCUUAUAACUUUCGUUUAAUGGAACCAAAACUUGAGUGUUUCCCCACAAAUUACGGAUAAAGUUAAAAGUUACUGUUGCAGUCAUAUUAUUUUCUCAACGAGAUUUCCAUUCGGCACGUACAUGUUCUUUUAAGAGCGAUUGACGCUCCAUAAUAUUGGACCUCUCUAUUCUUCAUUCCUUAGCACGUCAAGUAAAGAGAGACCACUGUUUAUUCCAUAGGCGCUAUUAAUAUAAUAUUGAAGAUUUGCUUUAAUUUACAGAAACAGCCCAAGUUCAACUCAAGACGAAUAUUCUUAAACCGACUUAGAUGAUAUUGAUAAAUAUUUCGAGGUCUAGCCCCACCCAUCAAUCACCCAGUAACAUUUUGUGCUGACACCUUAACAUAUCAUUCCCUUCAUCGGCAAACGUGACAUCCUGAUGUCUUACGAGUCUUCUAUAUGUCGGCACGGCUCAGGCAUCAUUCAACAUGUGACGAAUAAACUUGCCCUUUUUAUUCAAGCUAAUUUCUAAGUAGCUGGCCUUGUGACUAGGACCAAACUCAUCCACUUUAAAUAUUGAAUAUCAACUGGACGAGAUCCUGGAGAAGUUGGUUGUAUCCUGGUCUUCUGUACAAAUGCCCUCUAGUUGCCUCAAUACUCCGGCCAUAUGAAAGGUCCACAAACGAAUUCCUCUGAGCAACUUCUAUCAUAUAACAAUGAGAGAAAUAUCCACCGAACUAUCUACCGGACCGACUGGGAUCAGAAAUACUCUAAAAUCCUUCUAUCAUCCCCCUCUGCUUCAGCAUUCUGACAAGCACUGAAGGAAGAUGCAUGCCCCGAUAAGGCAACGAAUUAUUCCUCACCUUAUCAGUCGGCUUCGGAAGAAUUAUGGCCUUGUCUGCUUUUCACGGUAAUGGAAAGGAACGCUCCCGCAGACAUCCAAAAUAGAUCGCACAGAGAUAUUCUGAAAUAAACUUUCAGAUGGCUGUAAACAUUUCGCCGGUAAUCUGUCUGAAUCCGGUGUUCUUUUACACCUAACAUUCGAGACCGCUUACCCCAUUCAUGUUCCUUCAACGAAGGCGCAGAAGGGAUCAGUCCAAUAUUAGAAGACAUAGUAUCAUUCUGUGGACUCCUUGCUUCUAAUAGCACCACCUGACACCCAAGUGUCGUUCCGGUCGCGAGGAACAAAAUCUUCAAUCUCUUCAGCCGUCUUCCUUAGUCUUUUUAAGUACACUUUCUCAAGGAGCAAGACAUGUUUAGUUAUAUGGUCUACCUGCUCAUCCAAAAGUGCAUUCAGAAAAUUCCCAAGAUGCACCGCGGAAGCUGUUCCCCUAAUAUAGACUCCGUAUGCGUCACAUUAAUCUCAAAAAUGUGCCAAUGUUUGACGUUAAGUUUAGUGGGUGCGGUGGAAGUAAAAUUAACCAUCACUUUAGUAGUGUUCCUAACGCUUCGGUAGGGAAGAUAACAGAUGUCUUUGCUGGUUUAACGUGGGUACAUACCUUGUCGGUUUAACCCCACAGUACUUGAUGACACCCGGGUUCAUUUAGCGUAACCGGCUCCCUUUAGAGAGUUAGACAAUCCCUAUAAGCUAGGAGCCUAAACUACGUUGGAGAGUCCAGAUAUGUUUAUAAACGCUGGGAAGAUAACAGAAAGAACAAAUCAUUCGAGAAAAUGGAGCUUAUGCUCACGUCGCCACACCAAUGAGUAUUGGAUAUUGCGUUUUUGAUAUGAAACCAACCCACGGAUUAUUCGCAAGACAUAUUUAUGCGAACGUGGUGAUUUGGCGCGAUUAUUAUCGGCGUUAUUAACGUCUUUUUAAUUCUUUGAAAAC
Glossina fuscipes is the source of this 3558-nucleotide long non-coding RNA. RefSeq lists it as uncharacterized. The record is from RefSeq and is a predicted model, not a curated record. The transcript has 2 exons. Lineage: Eukaryota; Metazoa; Arthropoda; Insecta; Diptera; Glossinidae.